GAGGAGACAUCCACAUUUGACUUCAUGAAAAUAUACAUGUGUGUGUGGAAUGACACUCCCCCAUAUGAAUAUGCACACAUAUGCAUAUAUGAUAAAAAGGAAGUGGCGAAAUCUGUAGACACCCAAAUAGAGUCCUUUUCCAAGUCCAUAUUCACCAGAAUCUCGGUUUGAAUCUGACCGGUCGCUGAGCGGCUCUCAUGCUGUGCUCUUGGCUCCCAGCAGGUGGCGCUGUUCUGAAGACUCGUAACCCCUUUAGAAGGUGAAGCCUGAGAGGCAGAUAUAGUUUGCUAGGGGCGAACCUUUGAAGGUUACACCCGCUCCUGGUUCCAGAGAGUUCCAUCUUUCCUGGUUCACUGUGAUAUGAACAGCAGCUCCAUGUCACACACUGCCACCAGGCCUGCUUGACAAUGAUGAACUGAAAUCCCUCUGAAGCCCUGAGCUAAAAUAAAAGCCCCUUUAAAGUUG
RNAcentral lists this long non-coding RNA (465 nucleotides) under Rattus norvegicus (Norway rat). Its description in RNAcentral is "long non-coding RNA NONRATT007785". Lineage: Eukaryota; Metazoa; Chordata; Mammalia; Rodentia; Muridae. The record is from RNAcentral.